This is a long non-coding RNA of Diospyros lotus (date-plum), 870 nucleotides long. RefSeq lists it as uncharacterized. NCBI's taxonomy places the organism in Eukaryota, Viridiplantae, Streptophyta, Magnoliopsida, Ericales, Ebenaceae. The record is from RefSeq and is a predicted model, not a curated record. The transcript has 4 exons.
CACUGAUGUACCUACAACAUGGAGAUCAAUUUGCUUGCAACAUGCUUCCAAGAAGUGGAGAGAAUACAAAGCCACCUUGAAGAGGCAUUAUGAUUGCCAUGAGACAGAUGAGGCUCGCCUGUCAAAAAUACCGCCUGGGGUGGACCCAGAACAGUGGAAGGUUCUUGUGGAGUAUUGGGGAUGUGAGCAAGCACAGGAACGUAGUGUGACAAAUCGUGCCAAUCGAGAUAAGCAAAAGAUGGGUCACACCAGCGGUAGGCGAUCACAUCCUCAGGUUAGACACCAGAUGACUAUUGAAAGUGGAGAUGAGCCAGAUAGAAUCAAGCUCUUUAGAAAGACACACACCAAAAAGAGCGGAGAGAUAGUAGACUCUACAUCUUCAUAUAUAAUUGUAUGUAUUUUUAAAAUUUGAAAGUUGUAGAUAUAUUUUGUUUCUUUUACUUGUCGACUGAUGUAACUAACUUGUGAAAUGUUUCUUGAGGAACAAAUGGAUGAAAGGUUGUCACAAAUACCCACAGAUGAACAAACCCCAGAUUCGGUAGAAGAUGUCUUUACUCAAAUACUAGGCAAAGAUGGGCAUGGCAGGGUAAGGAUGGGAGGACUUGGAACAUGCCCAACUAAGGUUAGACAAAGACAACAGUAUCAAGUGCCUCAAGAGCAAUAUGACCAAAUGCGUGCGCAAAUUACUGCCGAGCUAGAAGAAAAAUUUCAAGUUCAAAUCCAAAGUCAAGUUCAAAUGCAAGUUCGUGCAAUACUUGAGGCAAUGGGACAUAUACCACCAGCUCCAGACAAUACACCACAACCGAGACAGCCAUCUUCAUAUGCUAGUGCUUCUGCCACACAUGCAAGCACACCAUCACCCGAAGCUGA